GAGACACCCUUCUGGGGCAAGACUUGCUUCAGUGGGGCUUUGGUGCUCAUUGAGUCUGCCCCCUGAUGUGUCCCU
Molecule: microRNA precursor, 75 nt
Filed under: Myotis lucifugus (little brown bat)
Lineage: Eukaryota; Metazoa; Chordata; Mammalia; Chiroptera; Vespertilionidae
Description: mir-9229 microRNA precursor family
Rfam family: mir-9229 microRNA precursor family
Source: Rfam by way of RNAcentral